UAGUGACUGUAAACGGUGUUGAGUGAUAUUGUUUUCUGUUCUUGUCUUUCUUGUUUGCAGCUUACAGGUGUCUAUGGCUGCGCUGAUAGCACUGUAUGUCAGACAAAUAACAUGUAUUCAGGUGUUGCUGGAAUGACCUUCAGCUCUGGAUCAGUGAUUGCCAAUGCAACUGUAGUCUUCAACACCUCCUCUAUCAAUCACGCAGUUGUCUUUUACUACUUUCAACACAAUGUCAACAAGGUGCAACCCCAAAUUCUCCUGCUGAAUAUGGACUAUACGACCAUCAACAAAAUUAUAAGGACUUCUCUCACAUCUGCUACUACAACUACAACUACCACAACUACAACAAGCACUACCACUACAACACCUACCACAAUGCCCACAACUACAACACCUACCACAACCACAACAACACCUUCAACUACAACA
Long non-coding RNA from Acanthopagrus latus (yellowfin seabream), 429 nucleotides. RefSeq lists it as uncharacterized. The record is from RefSeq and is a predicted model, not a curated record. The transcript has 3 exons. NCBI's taxonomy places the organism in Eukaryota, Metazoa, Chordata, Actinopteri, Spariformes, Sparidae.